Heterocephalus glaber (naked mole-rat) is the source of this 319-nucleotide long non-coding RNA. RefSeq lists it as uncharacterized. Lineage: Eukaryota; Metazoa; Chordata; Mammalia; Rodentia; Bathyergidae. The record is from RefSeq and is a predicted model, not a curated record.
GCUAGAGGAAUGAAGAUAAGCAGCUCUGCCUUGUUCACUCCCGCUGAUUUCAUGGAUUCAGCUCUGUGUCCUUUCUUUAUUGGCAGGAGGAGCCUUAUAUAGCGUGAUUUAUGCCAAGUUCAGUGGAGAGGGUGCCCACCUGCAAGGACACUUGAGAAAGCACUUUGAGUCUGUGUGAUGCGCAGAAGGUGAUGGCUGACAGCCCGUCUUGACAAGCAGCUACAGAAGACAGCAGGAGGAUGUGAGCAUAUUAAAGACUAAGGAGUGAGCAGACCACAAGGAAGGUGAUGGACAUCUAAUUUUUCCUAAUACCUCCCAG